UCGCCAGGCAGCAGGGAAGCAGACAAAGCAGACAGAGCUCUCUGCCCUCCAUCAGCCUUUUUCCUAGUGAGGGGAAACGGAAGAAACAAAUCACACAGAGGAUGUGGCUCUCAAAGGGUCCUGAGCACCGUGGGAGAAACAGAGGACAAGGGCGGCAGCGGUGGGCAAAUUCCAACAGGGCCGGAGAAGGCGUCACCGGUGGGUCAGCCCGCGGCGGUGGGGGGCGGGUACUGCAGGGCAGGGAGGGUCACAUGAGUUCAUUUCCUCCCCCCAGAGCUUCACUACAGCCUCGGGCACAGAGCAAGGGCUUUCCGUGAGUUUGCAAUUGUCACAAUGUGCCGCUAGAGCGCGGUGUUGAAAGUGUCCCCUCCCUCCCCGGCACCCCUCCCAGGUCGCAGCUUCCCUGGGACGGUGGGGGGAUGGCAGCUGUCCCCGAUCCUGCCCCUGGCUCCUAAUACCCGGUCAGGGACUGCCAGCCUGAGCUCUCGGCAGAUCUGGGAGUCUGAGAUCUAUGUCAACGUCGCCAAAAGCUGUGUGAGAAGCAUAAAUUUACACACCAGCGACCUGCACGGCAACACGUCAGGCUCCUCUGACCUUUGGUUGGCUUUACGUUAACUUUAGUUAUCUCACACAUAGGGGAACUUUUAAAAUUUCUCUUUUAAAAUACUCCUGUAGAGGAGCAGAAAAGUUACUUAACAACUAUAUCUUUAUUAGACAGCCUUUCUUAAAACAGGUCUAUAGGAAAAGCAAUUUCACAAAAGGUCUUUGACGGUGAAAAUGGCUGUGAAUCAAUGACUCUGGUAACCACCAAGGAGAGAUGCUCAGACAAUAGACUCGGAGCAUGGCUGUACUUUUACAGCAUCCCUGUGAUUUCAUGGAUCGGCCCUGUUGGAGAAGCAGAAUACCAUGCGUGGCUCUAAGUUCCAGAAACAACCAGGUCCUACCCUGGCUGGACACCCAAGGCUGCUGCGGCCACUACAGGCUGCUCGUCGCCACGCGGACAUUUGACAAGCAUUUCAUCCUGUUCAUCAACCCUGGACCUCCGUCUUCACCCCAGCCUCCCAAAACUUGCUGCUCCUCCUGAGCCCCGAACUCAGUGGAAACACUUUGACUCCCAGCCAGCGACCUCCUGGCUGGGCUCCCCGCGGCAGCACUGCCCCCCAAGCCCACUGUCCACGCUGAGGCUUAACAUUCUAUCAACAGACAGUGGCGCCCGUACCCCUUUACUGUGUUAAAGGAAAAGCUUCAGCAGCUCUGGUUCUUCUGGAGAAAGUCCAGCCUAUUUAUCUGGCAAUGUCUCCUUCAGCGAAAUGACCCAAGGACACUAGAGUCUGCUUGAUCAGCAUAGAAUCCUGUAAAGCUGCAUCUUCUCUUUUGAAGCGUAGAACUAGGCCGAGGAUAACAGAAGAUGUGUUAACUGAGGCCUAGCUGGAGCCGUUAGAAUCCAAGCUCCCAGCCCACUGGCUUCAGGCUGAGAUGAGGCACCACUGUGGAAAGCUGGCAGAGCUUGUGGGGUGUUCUGCAGAUAAAACAAGAAGAAACCAGGAUGGGGCAUCAGAGGAAACGGUCUGUAAUGUGUCUUGAAGAAACUAGCAACUGACACAGCAGGGUGGGCACUGCAUGUUAUGAUAAAGAAAAUUCAUAUUCAUGAAAAAUUGGUGGCAAGCUGCCAAUAUUAUGUAUUCAGAAUACACCCAUUUUUCAAUUGCUCGAAACAUCAUUUAGGUUUUAAAAAGGUACUGAUAAUAAACGGAUCUAAAACACACCUAAACAACUCGAAUAUGGAACGAGAUAGGAAAUGACGGAAGAUGGCAUGGGCUGGUCCAAGGCUGAAGCCACGUACCAGGCCAACAGCAGACUUGCAAAGGUAGAAAGAAAUGUUGCCAAUUCGUGGCCUGGAAAAUAGAGCCCGAGGCGGGCAUUUUGGGGUCUUUUAGAGUGUCAGCUACAGGUGAAAAAACGGUUGUAAUUUCUAACACAAUGGAUGGUGCUCCAACUAUGUUAGCUGAAAUCAGGAAUUUUGGGGAAUUAUUUAUUUCGGCUGCGUUGGGUCUUCGUUGCUGAGCACGGGCUUUCUCUAGUUGCGGCGAGCGGGGCUACUCUUCGUUGCAGUGUGUGGGCUUCUCAUUGCAGUGGCUUCUCUUGUUGCCGAGCACAGGCUCUAGGCCCACGGGCUUCAGUAGUUGUGGCUCGCGGUCUCAGUAGUUGUGGCUCAUGGGCUUAGUUGCUCCGCGGCAUGUGGG
Molecule: long non-coding RNA, 2243 nt
Organism: Physeter macrocephalus (sperm whale)
Lineage: Eukaryota; Metazoa; Chordata; Mammalia; Artiodactyla; Physeteridae
Exons: 3
Source: RefSeq, a predicted model, not a curated record